CUGCUAUCGGAUGAUACUAAGCCAUGCGAGUCUUUGCAGUAAUGCAAGGCAUACGGCUCAGUAACACGUAGUCAACCUACCCUAUGGACGAGAAUAAUCUCGGGAAACUGAGCAUAAUUCUUGAUAGAUCAUAAUGCCUGGAAUGGUUUAUGGUUAAAAUGAUUCGUCGCCAUAGGAUGGGACUGCGGCCUAUCAGCUUGUUGGUGAGGUAAUGGCCCACCAAGGCGAUUACAGGUACGGGCUCUGAGAGGAGAAGCCCGGAGAUGGGUACUGAGACACGGACCCAGGCCCUAUGGGGCGCAGCAGGCGAGAAAACUUUGCAAUGUGCGAAAGCACGACAAGGUUAAUCCGAGUGAUUUCUGCUAAAGAAAUCUUUUGCCAGUCGUAAAACCGCUGGUGAAUAAGGGGUGGGCAAGUUCUGGUGUCAGCCGCCGCGGUAAAACCAGCACCUCAAGUGGUCAGGAUGAUUAUUGGGCCUAAAGCAUCCGUAGCCGGCUUUGUAAGUUUUCGGUUAAAUCCAUGUGCUCAACGCAUGGGCUGCCGAAAAUACUGCAUAGCUAGGGAGUGGGAGAGGUAGACGGUACUCAGUAGGUAGGGGUAAAAUCCUUUGAUCUAUUGAUGACCACCUGUGGCGAAGGCGGUCUACCAGAACACGUUCGACGGUGAGGGAUGAAAGCUGGGGGAGCAAACCGGAUUAGAUACCCGGGUAGUCCCAGCUGUAAACGAUGCAGACUGGAUGAUGCAUUGGCAUAAUAGCCAUUGCAGUGUCUCAGGGAAGCCGUUAAGUCUGCCGCCUGGGAAGUACGUACGCAAGUAUGAAACUUAAAGGA
Molecule: ribosomal RNA, 830 nt
Filed under: uncultured marine group I thaumarchaeote
Lineage: Archaea; Thermoproteati; Nitrososphaerota
Description: SSU rRNA
Rfam family: Archaeal small subunit ribosomal RNA
Source: RNAcentral